AGGACUACCCGGGUAUCUAAUCCUGUUUGCUCCCCACGCUUUCGCACCUGAGCGUCAGUCUUUGUCCAGGGGGCCGCCUUCGCCACCGGUAUUCCUCCAGAUCUCUACGCAUUUCACCGCUACACCUGGAAUUCUACCCCCCUCUACAAGACUCUAGCCUGCCAGUUUCGGAUGCAGUUCCCAGGUUGAGCCCGGGGAUUUCACAUCCGACUUGACAGACCGCCUGCGUGCGCUUUACGCCCAGUAAUUCCGAUUAACGCUUGCACCCUCCGUAUUACCGCGGCUGCUGGCACGGAGUUAGCCGGUGCUUCUUCUGCGAGUAACGUCACAGUUGAUACGUAUUAGGCAUCAACCUUUCCUCCUCGCUGAAAGUGCUUUACAACCCGAAGGCCUUCUUCAC
RNAcentral lists this unclassified non-coding RNA (400 nucleotides) under uncultured Ascomycota. RNAcentral's name for it is "sequence contains ITS1". The record is from RNAcentral. Lineage: Eukaryota; Fungi; Ascomycota.